RNAcentral lists this long non-coding RNA (533 nucleotides) under Rattus norvegicus (Norway rat). RNAcentral's name for it is "long non-coding RNA NONRATT011262". Lineage: Eukaryota; Metazoa; Chordata; Mammalia; Rodentia; Muridae. The record is from RNAcentral.
CGGCCGCCUGCCUCCCUGAGCGUCACCACACAGAUGGAGCUGUACGUCAAGACUGGGUGUGCCUCCAGGUUUCAACUCCAUUGUGAUACUCCAGACCCACGCUAAAACAUGUGCCCUGUCACAAUGCUGUGGUACCCGGCCGCAGCAGGACUUGCAUAUGUCCCUUAAGUCAUUAUGCCGAUGUGAGUUAGAAUUUCCAAAAAGAAAGGGAGGACACAGGGCACUCCUACACUGCCCCGCCUGCAGAAGUCUAGCUCUGACUCGAUUUCUGUUUCCAGACACGCUCCUACAACAAGCAGAUGCGACCUGCCAUUCUAGAUCACUGUUCUGGAAACAAAUGGACAAACACGUCUCACCAGCCUGAGUAUUUGGUAGGAGAGGAGGCUUUGUACGUCAACCCCCUGGACUGUUACAACAUUCACUGGCCUAUCAGAAGGGGUCAGUUGAAUAUCCACCCGGGUCCUGGAGGCUCCCUAACAGCUGUUCUGGCGGAUAUUGAAGUGAUAUGGUCUCACGCGAUACAGAAGUAUUUG